UACACUCCUGCGGGAGGCAGCAGUGGGGAAUAUUGCACAAUGGGCGCAAGCCUGAUGCAGCCAUGCCGCGUGUAUGAAGAAGGCCUUCGGGUUGUAAAGUACUUUCAGCGGGGAGGAAGGCGAUAAGGUUAAUAACCUUGUCGAUUGACGUUACCCGCAGAAGAAGCACCGGCUAACUCCGUGCCAGCAGCCGCGGUAAUACGGAGGGUGCAAGCGUUAAGCGGAAUUACUGGGCGUAAAGCGCACGCAGGCGGUCUGUCAAGUCGGAUGUGAAAUCCCCGGGCUCAACCUGGGAACUGCAUUCGAAACUGGCAGGCUAGAGUCUUGUAGAGGGGGGUAGAAUUCCAGGUGUAGCGGUGAAAUGCGUAGAGAUCUGGAGGAAUACCGGUGGCGAAGGCGGCCCCCUGGACAAAGACUGACGCUCAGGUGCGAAAGCGUGGGGAGCAAACAGGAUUAGAUACCCGAGUAGUCCCAUG
RNAcentral lists this ribosomal RNA (476 nucleotides) under uncultured organism. Its description in RNAcentral is "partial 16S ribosomal RNA". It matches the Rfam family "Bacterial small subunit ribosomal RNA", at positions 332 to 799 of the family's 1533-position model. The record is from RNAcentral.